Molecule: ribosomal RNA, 408 nt
Filed under: uncultured bacterium
Lineage: Bacteria
Description: partial 16S ribosomal RNA
Rfam family: Bacterial small subunit ribosomal RNA
Source: RNAcentral
GACGAACGCUGGCGGCGUGCUUAACACAUGCAAGUCGAACGAAGUGGCGAACGGGUGAGUAACGCGUAAUCAACCUGCCCUUCAGAGGGGGACAACAGUUGGAAACGACUGCUAAUACCGCAUACUGAAGGAGGGGAUUGCGUCUGUUUAGCUAGUUGGGGGGGUAACGGCCCCCCAAGCCGAUGAUCAGUAGCCGUGCUGAGUGGAGGAACGGGCAAAAUGGGACUGAGACACGGGCCAGACUCCUACGGGAGGCAGCAGUGGGGAAUCUUCCGCAAUUGACCGAAAUCUGACUGAGCAACCCCGCGUGAGUGAUGACGGGCUUCGGGUUGUAAAGCUCUGUUUAUCGGGAAGCGGUACCGGAAUAGAAAGCCACGGCUAACUACGUGCCAGCAGCCGCGGUAAUAC